This 442-nucleotide ribosomal RNA is filed under the name uncultured bacterium. RNAcentral's name for it is "bacterial SSU rRNA". It matches the Rfam family "Bacterial small subunit ribosomal RNA", at positions 339 to 797 of the family's 1533-position model. The record is from RNAcentral.
CUACGGGAGGCAGCAGUGAGGAAUAUUGCGCAAUGGGCGAAAGCCUGACGCAGUAACGCCGCGUGAGGGAUGAAGGCCUUCGGGUCGUAAACCUCUUUUCGGAGGGACGAGUGAGGACGGUACCUCUGGAAUAAGUCUCGGCUAACUACGUGCCAGCAGCCGCGGUAAAACGUAGGAGGCGAGCGUUAUCCGGAUUCACUGGGCGUAAAGCGCGUGUAGGCGGCUCGUCAAGUCGGUUGUGAAAGCCCCUGGCUCAACUGGGGGAGGUCAGCCGAGACUGAUGGGCUGGAGGGUCAGAGAGGAAGGUGGAAUUCCCGGUGUAGCGGUGGAAUGCGUAGAGAUCGGGAGGAACACCAGUGGCGAAGGCGGCCUUCUGGCUGACCACUGACGCUGAGACGCGAAAGCGUGGGUAGCAAACGGGAUUAGAAACCCCGGUAGUCCC